AUUGAACGCUGGCGGCAGGCCUAACACAUGCAAGUCGAACGAGUGGCGGACGGGUGAGUAAUGUCUGGGAAACUGCCCGAUGGAGGGGGAUAACUACUGGAAACGGUAGCUAAUACCGCAUACCAUCGGAUGUGCCCAGAUGGGAUUAGCCAGUAGGUGGGGUAAAGGCUCACCUAGGCGACGAUCCCUAGCUGGUCUGAGAGGAUGACCCGCCCCCCUGGAACUGAGGCACGGUCCAGACUCCUACGGGAGGCAGCGGUGGAGAAGAUUGCAACAUGGGCGCAAGCCUGAUGCAGCCAUGCCGCGUGUAUGAAGAGGGCCUUCGGGUUGUAGAGUUCUUUCAGCGAGGAGGCGUUACUCGCAGAAGAAGCGCCGGCUAACUCCGUGCCAGCAGCCGCGGUAAUUC
This 406-nucleotide ribosomal RNA is filed under the name uncultured bacterium. RNAcentral's name for it is "partial 16S ribosomal RNA". It matches the Rfam family "Bacterial small subunit ribosomal RNA", at positions 30 to 526 of the family's 1533-position model. The record is from RNAcentral.